CGGGGACCCAGAGGCCGCGCCUACCCCAUCGCUCCGCGGCCGCCCGGACCCCUGGCCCCCAGCCCGCCCCGCGGCGUCUGCGGGGGCUCAGGAAAGUGCGGUGGGAUCCGCGUACUCGAGCCCGCCCUUUCAGCUGUUUCCUCGACGUGACCUGAAGUCACCCGGAACUAACUGGGGCGCAGGGUCCCGCGGUCGAGUGGGGAGCGCUGGAUUGCAGCCUGACCUGAUUGGUAACCAGGCAGCGGGGGAGGCUGGCGAGAGGUUCUAGAAGUCGCCUGAGAACUUUGCGCCAAAGUCGUCUUGAGGAAUGCUGGCAGCGGAGUUGGACACCCCCGCUUUCCAUCAGGGAUGGUUGGUGACUUGGGAGGUGGUUUCCGCGUCCUGCCAUUUGCGUGCAGGUAGAGGCUUCUGGACCAAACGAAGAGAAGAUGAGGAAAGCCCGAUAGAUGUGAACACGCCCACGAGCAUCGCCUCAGCUCAGAACUGGGUCAAGGAGGGGCCCACUCCUGGCAUCACGACAAAAACAAGUCCAGGCCAGGCCCGCACACGGUGCCUCCUAACUUUAGCAGACUGUUCUCCAACAGGGCACAAAGGGUGACUUGGGUUCCUAAUCACUAAAAGUUUUUUUGAGGUUUCUGUUUCAAAUUUGAAAAGAGAUUUAGAAACACUGAACUUGUUUUGGUGGGCUAGUAGAUGAAAGAAGUUUGGAGUUUUGUAAGGAAAAGAGAGAACAGGAUUUGUGAAGAGAAUGUAUUUCAAGAAGAGAGAAUGCAAUAUGUCGUAUGCUUUGUUAAUAUAAUAAUGCUGCUCUGGAAGGGCGUGGUGAGCGAUAAGCUGAAUGGAUGUGUUUGUGAAAGGCCCUACAUAUUUGGCUUGUUUUGAACUCAGAUGAACAGAUGAGGAAACUGUACCAGUAUGAAGUUGUGAGCAAUUGUCUGUCCACAUAGGAAAAAAAGUAUUACCUCUCAUUAUACACAAAAAUAAACUCUAGGUGAGUAAAGAUA
Long non-coding RNA from Bos taurus (domestic cattle), 1004 nucleotides. NCBI's taxonomy places the organism in Eukaryota, Metazoa, Chordata, Mammalia, Artiodactyla, Bovidae. The record is from Ensembl.